CAUCCUACCAUAGACGCAGUAUGUAUUUCCGAGUGUUCACUCUAACGAAGAGAAGAAGAGGUGUGCUGGGAACCUUCCUCCUCUCCUUCCUCUCCCUCCUCCUCCUCUGUCCUACCAGGAAUGGGAUAGGAUCAACCCAGAGGAUUCAGAGGUCCCUAGCCUGGGCCUGGAAGGGCUUGGGCUGAGGACCACACCCUCUGCUGGAAACACAGAAAUAUGUAGCAAGACUCCUGAGCCUUUAUCCAUAGAGGAUGUGUGUCAACGCAACCCUUCAGUGGUGAUAGGUUGUGGAUAUAAGCUUUGGAGGAAUUAUGACGAGGAGACAGCCUAUUGGGUAUCUUCUUUUGACGUGAAGGCCACUAGGCUACAACAAUCACCAAUCACCAAUCACCAAUAACAUGAAUAAGAUAAAAGGAUUAUGAGAUGAUGUAUUAUUUUGAGACCAGUUCACUUUGAGACCAGUUCACUUUGAGACCGUUCACUGAGAGACCCGUUCACUGAGAAACCAGUUCACUGAGAGACCAGUUCACUUUGAGACCAGUUCACUGAGAGACCCGUUCACUGAGAGACCAGUUCACUUUGAGACCAGUUCACUGAGAGACCAGUUCACUUUGAGACCAGUUCACUUUGAGACCAGUUCACUUUGAGACCAGUUCAGUUUGAGACCAGUUCAGUUUGAGACCAGUUCACUGAGAGACCAGUUCACUGAGAGACCAGUUCACUUAGAGACCAGUUCACUGAGAGACCAGUUCACCGAGAGACCAGUUCACCGAGAGACCAAUUCACUGAGAGACCAGUUCACUUAGAGACCAGUUCACUUUGAGACCAGUUCACUUAGAGACCAGUUCACUUUGAGUGUGAACAGAGUAUAGCCUACUAAUCUGGAUUCCUAUUUUGUUUCUCUUUGACUAUAACAACAACAACAACAAAACGAUAUAGUUGUUUUUACAAAUAAAAUGUACUAUUAGCAGUAUGUAUUUUACUUAUAGAAUGUAUCAUCAACAAUAUGAGUAAAGAACUAAAGGCAAAUAAUGAAUAGAAAAGCAAUUCUUUAGCU
This is a non-coding RNA of Salmo salar (Atlantic salmon), 1057 nucleotides long. The record is from RefSeq and is a predicted model, not a curated record. Lineage: Eukaryota; Metazoa; Chordata; Actinopteri; Salmoniformes; Salmonidae.